GUUAGGCCUCAGUAUUUCCUAGCCAAGGAGCAAGCUUCCAGGAAAUGAGCGAGUGAGCCUCCAAUUGUAUAUGUAGACGUAAAAACAGCAUGCAUGCCCCUCCACCACCAAGCCUUUUUCAUUUCCAAGCUUUUCUCUAAUCACCAGGAUCCAAACACCUCCAGCCCAGCUCCCAUCCCCGCCCUCCUCCUCAGCCUUGGGCCCACCCACCUCUGUCUUCACAAAAGGUGCCCCGCUGGCCGGCACCACAGAAAACAUCCAAGCCCAAGGUACUCAUGGUUUGUGUGUAAAGGGUUUUUAUUGGAGAGCCUGUGGCGCUGAAGUGCCACCAAGGAUUUGGAAGGUCACUUUCAGCAGCCGCCAUUUCUGCCAGGACCAGUGGCAAGCACCUGGCAGAUGGAGCCCGGGUGUUUCUGCGUAAGGCAGAGGAAUCCAGCUUUUCCAUGAGAUUCAGCUGCAGUUGUCGAAAACCCUGUGUGAGCCAGCAGUUCCAGUUCAAAGGUUGAGGGGGCGAACAGCUGCGAGGUGGCCAGGCUCCCGUGAGUCACCACUCAGGCCUGAGUACACCGUGGAGAGGAGAGAUAAAGCAGCCACGGCUGUUCUGUUGCCAGUCCCACCCCUCUGGCAAACAGAUGGGGGAAAACAGAGAAGGAAAGUCAACAAAGAAGGUGAAAUGCAGGGAGCAGAGACUACACGCAGGCCCCCCGUGGCUGGCAAUACCAUGCGUGCUGGGCCGGCUGCGCCACCCUCACCCAGGGCUUCCCACGGGCUCUGCUCUUUCCUGCAGAGGCGAAACUGCCUUCCUGGCAGGCGGAGGCUGCCGAGCUCCCAUGCCCCUUCCCACAUAUCCCAACUCUUCUCAGAAAACUGAAGAACCGAAGAUGGAGCCAAUCACCUCUAGCCUGGGAACACCGCUAGUCAGGAGGCCUCAAUCAACCUGAGAAGUCAGCCCAAGGCCCUGUCUCCAGAAGCCAGCAGCAGAUCCCUGGGUCAUGUCACAGGCAAGUCCUCACUUCACCAGCUCAGAGGUGAGCCACUCUCACCUGAACCUCUGCCUUCCGGCAGGGACCUCCUGGGUCCUGUGGGGUCUCCUGGGUCCAGGAAGAAAGAAAAGGAGCCACAGACGUGUCCAGGUCUGGAAGGGGCUGACCAGCUCUAAGCACAUCCACCUUGAACUCUGACACAGGUAACGCCAAAAUGAGGCCAGGACCUGACCAAGCCAAAAAAGCAGCAAAGGAUCAGAUGGGGUCCAAUGUGUAGAUCCAGUAGAGAAGAAUGUCGGAAAUUCUAAAUACACAGUUGGACAUCCUUCAGGCUUGUUUUAGAUUCUUGAUCCUCCUGAUCUCUUUUACUAUUGUCAACAAUUGUCUUAAAAAAACUUCUUUAAAAUCAACAUGUUUCUACCCUUUGCUCCUUAGCAAGGCACAAAGCCUCUUACAUGGGGAGUAGAAGUAGGGGGCACUUUAAAGGGAUGCCCAAAGGGUGGCAGAAGCAACUCCAUUGUGGUGACGUGGAAACGAGCUUGCCAGUGACAGUCUGAGCAGAUGCCUGACACGCACGAUGGAGCUGGGGUUUUAUACAUAACGUUCGUUUUGGUUUCAACACCUCCGACGCAAGAGGGCUUCCAGGUCCAGUCCUUCACACCCCAGGUUGCAGCUGACCAACUUUCCACAGGAUGCCACCAGGCUGGGAAACAGGUUUUACCUAAAAGAAAGGGAAGGACAAGAGUAAGCCCCUUCUGGCAGAGCCUCGCACCCAUUCUGACCCCUCCUGAACAUCUCUAUCCCUCACCCUCUCAGCCAGUGAAAAGGCCACAGUCCCCAGCCACAGGACCUUUGAGCGUGCUGUCUGGAAGGCGCAAUCCACUCUUCCAGCAAACCCCCUCCCUCCCCACAGUUCCCAACUAAGGAUCCCUCCCCCAGCUCCCCACACAGACUCCCUAGAACACAACCUCUUUCUCCUUAUAUCCCUCUCCUUGCCAGCACUUCCAGGGUGUUUACACUAGGGGUUGGAAAACUUCUUCUGUGACAGUCCAGAGAGGAAAUAUUGUAAACUCUGCAGAUCCCACAAUCACGGUGAUAACUCCUCAACCCUGCUGUUGGGGUGGAACAGCAGCCACAGCAAGAAAUGCUUGGCCAUGGCUGUGUUCCAGUACAAUGUUAUUUAUAGACACUGAAAUUUGAAUUGCAUGUUACUUUCUCAUGUCAUAAAAUAGUAUUCUUCCUUUGGUUCUUUUUCAACCAUUAAAAUGUGAAAAUCAUUCUUGGCUCCUGAGCUGUACAAAAACAGACAGUGGGCUGGAUUUGGCCCAUGGGCCAUAGUUUGCUGACUCCUGGUUUAUGUAUCUGAGUAGUGUUGGUCUCUUGCUUAGACUGGGAGCUUGAGACAAAAGCCACAUCUAAGCUUCCUUACCUUUAA
RNAcentral lists this long non-coding RNA (2418 nucleotides) under Homo sapiens (human). RNAcentral's name for it is "HSALNT0224774". Lineage: Eukaryota; Metazoa; Chordata; Mammalia; Primates; Hominidae. The record is from RNAcentral.